AGAGUUUGAUCCUGGCUCAGGACGAACGCUGGCGGCGUGCCUAAUACAUGCAAGUCGAGCGGACAGAUGGGAGCUUGCUCCCUGAUGUUAGCGGCGGACGGGUGAGUAACACGUGGGCAACCUGCCUGUAAGACUGGGAUAACUCCGGGAAACCGGGGCUAAUACCGGAUGCUUGUUUGAACCGCAUGGUUCAAACAUAAAAGGUGGCUUCGGCUACCACUUACAGAUGGACCCGCGGCGCAUUAGCUAGUUGGUGAGGUAAUGGCUCACCAAGGCAACGAUGUGUAGCCGACCUGAGAGGGUGAUCGGCCACACUGGGACUGAGACACGGCCCAGACUCCUACGGGAGGCAGCAGUAGGGAAUCUUCCGCAAUGGACGAAAGUCUGACGGAGCAACGCCGCGUGAGUGAUGAAGGUUUUCGGAUCGUAAAGCUCUGUUGUUAGGGAAGAACAAGUGCCGUUCAAAUAGGGCGGCACCUUGACGGUACCUAACCAGAAAGCCACGGCUAACUACGUGCCAGCAGCCGCGGUAAUACGUAGGUGGCAAGCGUUGUCCGGAAUUAUUGGGCGUAAAGGGCUCGCAGGCGGUUUCUUAAGUCUGAUGUGAAAGCCCCCGGCUCAACCGGGGAGGGUCAUUUGAAAACUGGGGAACUUGAGUGCAGAAGAGGAGAGUGGAAUUCCACGUGUAGCGGUGAAAUGCGUAGAGAUGUGGAGGAACACCAGUGGCGAAGGCGACUCUCUGGUCUGUAACUGACGCUGAGGAGCGAAAGCGUGGGGAGCGAACAGGAUUAGAUACCCUGGUAGUCCACGCCGUAAACGAUGAGUGCUAAGUGUUAGGGGGUUACCGCCCCUUAGUGCUGCAGCUAACGCAUUAAGCACUCCGCCUGGGGAGUACGGUCGCAAGACUGAAACUCAAAGGAAUUGACGGGGGCCCGCACAAGCGGUGGAGCAUGUGGUUUAAUUCGAAGCAACGCGAAGAACCUUACCAGGUCUUGACAUCCUCUGACACCCCUAGAGAUAGGGCUUCCCCUUCGGGGGCAGAGUGACAGGUGGUGCAUGGUUGUCGUCAGCUCGUGUCGUGAGAUGUUGGGUUAAGUCCCGCAACGAGCGCAACCCUUGAUCUUAGUUGCCAGCAUUCAGUUGGGCACUCUAAGGUGACUGCCGGUGAAAAACCGGAGGAAGGUGGGGAUGACGUCAAAUCAUCAUGCCCCUUAUGACCUGGGCUACACACGUGCUACAAUGGACAGAACAAAGGGCAGCGAGACCGCGAGGUUAAGCCAAUCCCACAAAUCUGUUCUCAGUUCGGAUCGCAGUCUGCAACUCGACUGCGUGAAGCUGGAAUCGCUAGUAAUCGCGGAUCAGCAUGCCGCGGUGAAUACGUUCCCGGGCCUUGUACACACCGCCCGUCACACCACGAGAGUUUGUAACACCCGAAGUCGGUGAGGUAACCUUUAUGGAGCCAGCCGCCGAAGGUGGGACAGAUGAUUGGGGUGAAGUCGUCACCUUUACCGUAUCGGAAGGUGCGGCUGGAUCACCUCCUU
This 1541-nucleotide ribosomal RNA is filed under the name Bacillus subtilis. RNAcentral's name for it is "bacterial SSU rRNA". It matches the Rfam family "Bacterial small subunit ribosomal RNA". Lineage: Bacteria; Bacillati; Bacillota; Bacilli; Caryophanales; Bacillaceae. The record is from RNAcentral.